RNAcentral lists this ribosomal RNA (459 nucleotides) under uncultured Treponema sp. RNAcentral describes it as "partial 16S ribosomal RNA". It matches the Rfam family "Bacterial small subunit ribosomal RNA", at positions 341 to 792 of the family's 1533-position model. The record is from RNAcentral. Lineage: Bacteria; Pseudomonadati; Spirochaetota; Spirochaetia; Treponematales; Treponemataceae.
ACGGGAGGCAGCAGCUAAGAAUAUUCCGCAAUGGACGAAAGUCUGACGGAGCGACGCCGCGUGGAUGAUGAAGGCCGAAAGGUUGUAAAAUCCUUUUUAAUCUGAGGAAUAAACCUUGCAGGUAAUGGCAGGGUGGUGACUGUAGGAUUGGAAUAAGCAACGGCUAAUUACGUGCCAGCAGCCGCGGUAACACGUAAGUUGCGAGCGUUGUUCGGAAUUAUUGGGCGUAAAGGGCAUGUAGGCGGAUCGGUAAGCUUGGAGUGAAAUCCCGCAGCUCAACUGCGGAACUGCUUUGAGAACUGCCGGCCUAGAGUUAGUGAGGGGGAACCGGAAUUCCAGGUGUAGGGGUGAAAUCUGUAGAUAUCUGGAAGAACACCAAUGGCGAAGGCAGGUUUCUAGCACAUAACUGACGCUGAGGUGCGAAGGUGCGGGGAGCAAACAGGAUUAGAUACCCUGGUA